This 508-nucleotide ribosomal RNA is filed under the name uncultured bacterium. Its description in RNAcentral is "partial 16S ribosomal RNA". It matches the Rfam family "Bacterial small subunit ribosomal RNA", at positions 28 to 523 of the family's 1533-position model. The record is from RNAcentral.
GAUGAACGCUAGCUACAGGCUUAACACAUGCAAGUCGAGGGGAAACGAUAUUGGAAGCUUGCUUCCGAUGGGCGUCGACCGGCGCACGGGUGAGUAACGCGUAUCCAACCUGCCCACCACUUGGGGAUAACCUUGCGAAAGUAAGACUAAUACCCAAUGAUAUCUCUAGAAGACAUCUGAAAGAGAUUAAAGAUUUAUCGGUGAUGGAUGGGGAUGCGUCUGAUUAGCUUGUUGGCGGGGUAACGGCCCACCAAGGCGACGAUCAGUAGGGGUUCUGAGAGGAAGGUCCCCCACAUUGGAACUGAGACACGGUCCAAACUCCUACGGGAGGCAGCAGUGAGGAAUAUUGGUCAAUGGACGAGAGUCUGAACCAGCCAAGUAGCGUGCAGGAAGACGGCCCUAUGGGUUGUAAACUGCUUUUAUAAGGGAAUAAAGUGAGUCUCGUGAGACUUUCUGCAUGUACCUUAUGAAUAAGGACCGGCUAAUUCCGUGCCAGCAGCCGCCGUAA